RNAcentral lists this ribosomal RNA (466 nucleotides) under uncultured Desulfobulbus sp. Its description in RNAcentral is "bacterial SSU rRNA". It matches the Rfam family "Bacterial small subunit ribosomal RNA", at positions 925 to 1382 of the family's 1533-position model. The record is from RNAcentral. Lineage: Bacteria; Pseudomonadati; Thermodesulfobacteriota; Desulfobulbia; Desulfobulbales; Desulfobulbaceae.
ACAAGCGGUGGAGUAUGUGGUUUAAUUCGAUGCAACGCGAAGAACCUUACCUGGUCUUGACAUCCCGGAGACCCUUAGGAAACUAAGGGGGUGGCUUCCAUCUGGAAGAAUACUGGAGACAGGUGCUGCAUGGCUGUCGUCAGCUCGUGUCGUGAGAUGUUGGGUUAAGUCCCGCAACGAGCGCAACCCUUGCCUUUAGUUGCCAGCAGUUCGGCUGGGCACUCUAAAGGGACUGCCGGUGUUAAACCGGAGGAAGGUGGGGAUGACGUCAAGUCCUCAUGGCCUUUAUGGCCAGGGCUACACACGUACUACAAUGGCCGAUACAAAGGGCAGCGACACUGCGAGGUGAAGCCAAUCCCGUAAAAUCGGUCUCAGUCCGGAUUGGAGUCUGCAACUCGACUCCAUGAAGUUGGAAUCGCUAGUAAUCGUGGAUCAGCAUGCCACGGUGAAUACGUUCCCGGGCCUU